GACGAACGCUGGCGGCGUGCUUAACACAUGCAAGUCGAACGGAAAGGCCCUGCUUUUGUGGGGUGCUCGAGUGGCGAACGGGUGAGUAACACGUGAGUAACCUGCCCUUGACUUUGGGAUAACUUCAGGAAAAUGGGGCUAAUACCGGGUAGGAGCUCCUGCUUCAUGGUGGGGGUUGGAAAAUUUCGGCGGUUGGGGAUGGACUCGCGGCUUAUCAGCUUGUUGGUGGGGUAGUGGCUUACCAAGGCUUUGACGGGUAGCCGGCCUGAGAGGGUGACCGGCCACAUUGGGACUGAGAUACGGCCCAGACUCCUACGGGAGGCAGCAGUGGGGAAUAUUGCACAAUGGGCGGAAGCCUGAUGCAGCAACGCCGCGUGCGGGAUGACGGCCUUCGGGUUGUAAACCGCUUUCGCCUGUGACGAAGCGUGAGUGGCGGUAAUGGGUAAAGAAGCACCGGCUAACUACGUG
RNAcentral lists this ribosomal RNA (468 nucleotides) under uncultured bacterium. RNAcentral describes it as "partial 16S ribosomal RNA". It matches the Rfam family "Bacterial small subunit ribosomal RNA", at positions 28 to 507 of the family's 1533-position model. The record is from RNAcentral.